AAUAAAUAAAUAAAUAAAUAAAGACAAAUCUAACGACUUGGGAUCUCCGUAAAUGCAUAGAAAUUGUUAAUUUUUAAUUAUUACAAUUUACAUACAAUGGAAGACAUAGCUAAAAAAGAAAGAGAGAAAGACAGUUUUGAACAUCUUAGUAUGGAAAAGCUUAUGAAUUACAAGUGUUGGCACACUAUGCAUAUCCCUGAAUUAUAAAAAUUCAUACAUCUAAGAUAUUGCAGGCACUCAAAAAUAGCACACCACAUGUUAGUGUAAAUCUGCAAAGUUAAAUAUCCUCCCCCCAACCCGGCCCCUCAUCCCGAAAGAAAAAUAAAAUAAUAAAAACGCAAAAUAAUGACAUUCAACCAGGAAAAUUUUCAUAGUUAAGUUGAGGUCACCCAUAUGAACUGAUAGGGACUUUAUCUUAUGCUAAAAGCAUAAGCUUUCUCCUAAUAUCAGACCAUGUAAGGAACAGUGACUAUAACCUUCUACCGGAUCCUGCACUUUAUCAUUAAAGCUUAAAGCAAGUUCCAUCGCUCGCCCUGGAAGUUGAAUCAAGUUAACAUGUGAUUGAGGAAACAAUCCAACUUGACCAAAGAAGUCCAGCAUUAAGCACAAUUAAAAUUUUACGAGUUUUGGUUGCAUUCAAGCCCCCAAAAAGAAAUUGGGGGGCUGAAAAAAUGGAAUAUUCGUAGAUUGAAAAUAGAAGAACAUACUGUAGUAAGAAUUUCUCAGAAGAAGUAAGGAAACCUGAAAAAUUAGACCGGCAAGAAU
This 765-nucleotide unclassified non-coding RNA is filed under the name Hevea brasiliensis (rubber tree). Lineage: Eukaryota; Viridiplantae; Streptophyta; Magnoliopsida; Malpighiales; Euphorbiaceae. The record is from RNAcentral.